Molecule: ribosomal RNA, 465 nt
Filed under: uncultured bacterium
Lineage: Bacteria
Description: partial 16S ribosomal RNA
Rfam family: Bacterial small subunit ribosomal RNA
Source: RNAcentral
CCUACGGGAGGCAGCAGUGGGGAAUAUUGCGCAAUGGGCGAAAGCCUGACGCAGCGACGCCGCGUGAGGGAUGAAGGUCUUCGGAUCGUAAACCUCUGUCAGCAGGGAAGAACGGUCACUGUGCUAAUCAGCAGUGAAUUGACGGUACCUGCAAAGGAAGCACCGGCUAACGCCGUGCCAGCAGCCGCGGUAAUACGGAGGGUGCGAGCGUUAAUCGGAAUUACUGGGCGUAAAGCGCUCGUAGGCGGUAUGUCAAGUCAAGGGUGAAAUCCCCGCGCUCAACGUGGGAACUGCCUUUGAAACUGGCAAACUGGAGUGUGUGAGAGGAUAGUGGAAUUCCAGGUGUAGGAGUGAAAGCCGUAGAUAUCUGGAGGAACAUCAGUGGCGAAGGCGACUAUCUGGCACAUAACUGACGCUGAGGAGCGAAAGCGUGGGUAGCAAACAGGAUUAGAUACCCUAGUAGUC